AUUGAACGCUGGCGGCAGGCCUAACACAUGCAAGUCGAGCGGAUGAAGGGAGCUUGCUCCUGGAUUCAGCGGCGGACGGGUGAGUAAUGCCUAGGAAUCUGCCUGGUAGUGGGGGAUAACGUCCGGAAACGGGCGCUAAUACCGCAUACGUCCUGAGGGAGAAAGUGGGGGAUCUUCGGACCUCACGCUAUCAGAUGAGCCUAGGUCGGAUUAGCUAGUUGGUGGGGUAAAGGACUACCAAGGCGACGAUCAGUAACUGGACUGAGAGGAUGAUCAGUCACACGGGAGCGGAGAUACGGUCCAGAAUCCGACGGGAGGCAGCAGUGGGGAAUAUUGGACAAUGGGCGAAAGCCUGUUCCAGCCAUGCGGCGUGUGUGAAGAAGGUCUUCGGAGUGUAAAGCACGUUAAGUUGGGAGGAAGGGCAGUAAGUUAAUACCUUGCUGUUCGGACGUUACCAACAGAAUAAGCACCGGCUAACUUCGU
This 483-nucleotide ribosomal RNA is filed under the name uncultured bacterium. RNAcentral describes it as "partial 16S ribosomal RNA". It matches the Rfam family "Bacterial small subunit ribosomal RNA", at positions 30 to 506 of the family's 1533-position model. The record is from RNAcentral.